Molecule: long non-coding RNA, 71 nt
Organism: Amblyraja radiata (thorny skate)
Lineage: Eukaryota; Metazoa; Chordata; Chondrichthyes; Rajiformes; Rajidae
Exons: 3
Source: RefSeq, a predicted model, not a curated record
AUUAAGAAACAGUAGGGAGAUGUCAGUGAUGGUCCAAGUGCAUUUGAGGGCAGGAAAGUUAGAGUCACACA